Long non-coding RNA from Callorhinchus milii (elephant shark), 591 nucleotides. RefSeq lists it as uncharacterized. The transcript is spliced from 2 exons. The record is from RefSeq and is a predicted model, not a curated record. Lineage: Eukaryota; Metazoa; Chordata; Chondrichthyes; Chimaeriformes; Callorhinchidae.
CGUCAAAACAAAGAUGGCGGCGGUCGGGUCGCUUAGCGACGGCUCGGGGCCGCCCGCCCGCCCGCUGCCCGCCCCGGGCCCCGUUGCGAUAGUAACGCGGCGAGAUAAGGGGGAGAGAGAGAUAGAGAAAUGGAGGGAGGGAGGAAGGAAGGAAGGAAGUUAUCCCCGGACGCCUCGUGUGGUUUGGAUUCGUUCUUCGUCUGCUGAUUGAUUUAGUCUCACAGAGCAAUUGUUUCCUGACCAAGUCUUUCCCCCUUUUUUUUGCUAAAGCAAACCAGAUACUGGGUGGCUGGAAAAGUGCUGUACCAUUGAACCGAUUUUGCUGUAAUAACAAUGUCGAGAGUUACUUUGCAUUCAGCCAAAGUCAGACAACAUUAAUUUAAAUUCCGACCAUUUAAUAUAUACCCUUCGGAGUCACCGAUGAAGUGGACUGACUAAUAAUCUCUUCGCCUCAUGAUUCUGCAAGGGAACACUAUAGGCAACGCUGAAAAUCAAAUGGCUGUCUUAUUUAUUAGUUUGCUUCAAGAGACUAUAACAACCAUACCCUGUCACAACUGUUUGAUCUAUUAAACGUCUAUAUGCUCUUCAAAA